Molecule: long non-coding RNA, 365 nt
Organism: Sinocyclocheilus grahami
Lineage: Eukaryota; Metazoa; Chordata; Actinopteri; Cypriniformes; Cyprinidae
Exons: 3
Source: RefSeq, a predicted model, not a curated record
CCAUAGACUACAACGAUCCUGAUGAAGAUGGAAAACAAGAUCUCGCUCUGGACCACACAGACACUGAGUCGUAUGAAAGGAUGACAGGGCCAGACUGUCUAUACAACAACAGACUUCACAGCAGCCCAUGGCACCACGGAGGACGAUUCAUAUGAGCAGAUGAAUGGAAUCCCAGUCUCGUUCCAGACAGAGAUGGAUGUGAAUGAAAGAGAUGCAGAGAAAUGGACAACUGCAGUCAAAUUGCAAUUAAAAGAGAGAAACUGAGAAUUUAUUUUAAAAAUGUAAACCUUGGAGAGCAGCUACUGGAUGAACGCUUAGAUAAUAAAUAGCCUAUAUCAAUUAUAUAAUUGUAAAAACAUUGUCUU